GACGAACGCUGGCGGCGUCCUUAACACAUGCAAGUCGAACGGAAAGGCCCUGCUUUUGUGGGGUGCUCGAGUGGCGAACGGGUGAGUAACACGUGAGUAACCUGCCCUUGACUUUGGGAUAACUUCAGGAAACUGGGGCUAAUACCGGAUAGGAGCUCCUGCUGCAUGGUGGGGGUUGGAAAGUUUCGGCGGUUGGGGAUGGACUCGCGGCUUAUCAGCUUGUUGGUGGGGUAGUGGCUUACCAAGGCUUUGACGGGUAGCCGGCCUGAGAGGGUGACCGGCCACAUUGGGACUGAGAUACGGCCCAGACUCCUACGGGAGGCAGCAGUGGGGAAUAUUGCACAAUGGGCGGAAGCCUGAUGCAGCAACGCCGCGUGCGGGAUGACGGCCUUCGGGUUGUAAACCGCUUUCGCCUGUGACGAAGCGUGAGUGACGGUAAUGGGUAAAGAAGCACCGGCUAACUACGUG
RNAcentral lists this ribosomal RNA (468 nucleotides) under uncultured bacterium. Its description in RNAcentral is "partial 16S ribosomal RNA". It matches the Rfam family "Bacterial small subunit ribosomal RNA", at positions 28 to 507 of the family's 1533-position model. The record is from RNAcentral.